Molecule: ribosomal RNA, 405 nt
Filed under: uncultured bacterium
Lineage: Bacteria
Description: bacterial SSU rRNA
Rfam family: Bacterial small subunit ribosomal RNA
Source: RNAcentral
UAGCCUUGACAUAUUUUAGAACUCCGUAGAGAUACAGAGGUGCCUUCGGGAGCUAAUUUACAGGUGCUGCACGGCUGUCGUCAGCUCGUGUCGUGAGAUGUUGGGUUAAGUCCCGCAACGAGCGCAACCCUCGUCACUAGUUACUAACGGUUCGGCCGAGGACUCUAGUGAGACUGCCUUCGUAAGGAGGAGGAAGGUGAGGACGACGUCAAGUCAUCAUGGCCCUUACGGCUAGGGCAACACACGUGCUACAAUGGCCAGGACAGUGAGACGCGAUACCGUGAGGUGGAGCAAAUCUAUAAACCUGGUCUCAGUUCGGAUUGUAGUCUGCAACUCGACUACAUGAAGCUGGAAUCACUAGUAAUCGUAGAUCAGCUAUGCUACGGUGAAUACGUUCCCGGGUCU